RNAcentral lists this ribosomal RNA (490 nucleotides) under uncultured bacterium. RNAcentral describes it as "partial 16S ribosomal RNA". It matches the Rfam family "Bacterial small subunit ribosomal RNA", at positions 28 to 507 of the family's 1533-position model. The record is from RNAcentral.
GAUGAACGCUAGCUACAGGCUUAACACAUGCAAGUCGCGGGGCAGCAUGGGGGUUGCUUGCAAUCCCCGAUGGCGACCGGCGCACGGGUGAGUAACGCGUAUCCAAUCUGCCCUUCACCACGGGAUAACCCGGCGAAAGUCGGACUAAUACCGUAUGUUGUCCAUUGACGGCAUCCGAUUUGGACGAAAGGCUUGGCGGUGAGGGAUGGGGAUGCGUCCGAUUAGCCAGACGGCGGGGUAACGGCCCACCGUGGCUACGAUCGGUAGGGGUUCUGAGAGGAAGGUCCCCCACACUGGAACUGAGACACGGUCCAGACUCCUACGGGAGGCAGCAGUGAGGAAUAUUGGUCAAUGGGCGUAAGCCUGAACCAGCCAAGUAGCGUGCAGGAUGACGGCCCUAUGGGUUGUAAACUGCUUUUAUGCGGGGAUAAAGUGGCCCACGUGUGGGCUUUUGCAGGUACCGCAUGAAUAAGGACCGGCUAAUUCCGUG